UAUUAUGUCGUGAAAAUGUAUAUUAGUAAUAUAUAUUUAUAUUUUCCACAUCAAGUUUUCGGUGCAUUUUCCGGUUCCGACAGGCGACGCACAUCCGGUGGAGUUUCGACCAAUGAGAAGGCGUCGUUUCGUUUGAACCGGGGGAGCGGUACUCUUAUCGUUGUUCUGUCUGUUGUUUAAAAACGGAAUAAAAUACUUAUAUUUCAUCCCGUAACUAAAUCAACUAACGUUAGCUAAAAAAUUAAAUAAAUAAAAAGGUGUGAUAACGGAUACAGACGGAGGGGACGUUUAAUGUUUGAGUUUGUCGGUUCCCGAUCUUCUUGUUGGUGAAACUGACCUGAGUAAAGAUGAACCGAGCAGGCCAACCGUUGUUCAUGAAGACCUACGGCAAACAGAAACGGAAGUUGGAGGCCUGGAUCUCCCCUGACAACCGAAAACAGGUUUUCGACACCACCUCUUCCUCUGACCUCUCCAUUGCUGAGCCCUCCAACCCCAAACCCCCGGCCAAGAGAGGGAGAAAGACAAGUACAGCAGAUGGCAGUAGAGCGACGCGACUAGCUAAGUCCAAUGCCCUGUCCUGUCUGAGAGAGAAGGACAGUGACGAAGAGAACAUCUUCAUUGUCCCUCCUCCUCCUCCUCCUCCUCACACCCAGCAGCAGAGCAACAACGCAGACAGGAAGUCAUUGUUGAGGCGUACUGGUAGAAAGGCCCAGCGUAUCGUGAGCACCAGUGAGAGUGAUGAAGAGUCAACGACCACCAGCCAACCCAACCCUAAACGCUCCACAGCUAGAGACAAGACACACACACAUCCGACUCCAGGGAAGUUUGUGACGCAUCGUAGGGGAGCAACAACCGCCAAACACAAAGCCCCCAAGAGGAAACUCAGAGUCCUGCUGGCCCAGCUCAGCUCAAACUCCUCUGAUGACUUCGUCCAUGAUGGAAGAGAAGAAGGGGGAGUGGUCCAGCGUGCCUUCCCUUGCCGUGCCAAACAGGGGCGCCGCCGUGCCCUGGCCAACGCUGACAGCUCGUUGGCCGACCCGGGGAACAGCGGAGUAGUAACCAACGGUUACGGUUUCCUGCGAGAUAUCUCUCUGAAUGAUUCGCCCGAGCGCCCCUCGGGACCCUGCCACAGGAAACCUCUCUUCUCCUCCACCCCUAGCUCACGUUCCCUCCGUCCUCCCAUCUCUCCCUCCGCCAGCGACGUCAUCUCUCUGAGCGCCGCCCGGGAGGAGCUGGCCGUUCCAGAGGACCCGCUCCGUCCCUCUCCGUCUGCCUCGCUCGCAGAUCCACGUCCUGGGCAACGCCAGCUGUCGUCCCUGUGCCGGGAAGUGGGACCAGAGGUAGGAAACUGCGAAGGAUCAACCAGCGUGAGGAGUAACAGGAGCCGGAAUGGAGACUCGGCGAUCCAAGAUGGCGUCGGUGAGCAGCUGAGCCUGAGCCUGUUCUCCGCGGUUGCCUGUGAGCGGACUGGCUCAGGCACGGCCGGGGAGGAAACUGAGGACGGCAGCCAUUUUGUGUCGGCGACGACGGCGGGACGGGAUUGGCUGGCCGAGGUAGUGAAGGAGAGAUGUCUGACGCGGCGCUGUGUCGUACGGCUAGAGAGAGAGUACAAACUGCACCGCGACGCCACCUAUUCGUCCUGCGUCGACCCUACGAGGUCACGCUACGACGGCGGGUCCGUCGACCACUCGGGGUAUAGAGAUCCGUCUAGAGGAGACGCGGGUCGGCGAACGAAGGGCGGU
RNAcentral lists this long non-coding RNA (1742 nucleotides) under Salmo salar (Atlantic salmon). Its description in RNAcentral is "lncRNA (ENSSSAG00000110796.1)". The record is from RNAcentral. Lineage: Eukaryota; Metazoa; Chordata; Actinopteri; Salmoniformes; Salmonidae.